RNAcentral lists this transfer RNA (75 nucleotides) under bacterium. Its description in RNAcentral is "tRNA-Thr". It matches the Rfam family "tRNA". From Rfam's summary of the family: Transfer RNA (tRNA) molecules are approximately 80 nucleotides in length. Their secondary structure includes four short double-helical elements and three loops (D, anti-codon, and T loops). RNAcentral also lists the same sequence under 3 other names. The record is from RNAcentral.
GCCCAUGUGGCUCAGUGGUAGAGCACGCCCUUGGUAAGGGCGAGAUCCGGGGUUCGAUUCUCCGCAUGGGCUCCA